This 23-nucleotide non-coding RNA is filed under the name Cricetulus griseus (Chinese hamster). The record is from RNAcentral. Lineage: Eukaryota; Metazoa; Chordata; Mammalia; Rodentia; Cricetidae.
CAACUGGGAUGAGAAAACAACGC